GAUUGUAGUCUGCAACUCGACUACAUGAAGCUGGAAUCGCUAGUAAUCGUAGAUCAGCAUGCUACGGUGAAUACGUUCCCGGGUCUUGUACACACCGCCCGUCACACCACGAGAGUUUGUAACACCCGAAGCCGGUGGAGUAACCAUUUAUGGAGCUAGCCGUCGAAGGUGGGACAAAUGAUUGGGGUGAAGUCGUAACAAGGUAGCCGUAUCGGAAGGUGCGGCUGGAUCACCUCCUUUCUAAGGA
This 247-nucleotide ribosomal RNA is filed under the name Staphylococcus sp. CH99b_3. Its description in RNAcentral is "partial 16S ribosomal RNA". It matches the Rfam family "Bacterial small subunit ribosomal RNA", at positions 1296 to 1533 of the family's 1533-position model. Lineage: Bacteria; Bacillati; Bacillota; Bacilli; Caryophanales; Staphylococcaceae. The record is from RNAcentral.